AUGGCGCUGGGCUGGGCUGUGCUGGUGCUGCUGGUGCUGAGCCCCCUGCGGGCGUGUGGGGCUGAGCUGCCGGAGCCGGGGCUGCCCCGGGACGGGCGGUGGGUCUGGGGGGUGGCCAAGCCCCUGCCCCUCUCCCGUGGGAAGAGGGAUGACAGCGGGCAGGAGCCCGGUGCCACCGCGAUGAUCAGCAGUGACAAGAGCGAGGGUGUGUCUGUGCCACCACCAGCACCCGUCACCAAGGCCAGCCUGCUCCGGGUGCCAAGCACAGCCGAUCCCAUGGAUGAUUCCCCCGAGCCUGAGCUGCUCCUGAGCUCUGCAGCACCGGAGCCCAGCACCAACACCAGCCUGCUCCGAGUGCUUGCAGUGUCCACCACAGCCGAGCCUUUGGAUGAGACAGAUUCCCCUGAACCCGAUUUACUGGAGGACUCUGUGGCACCGGCAGCACCCAGCACCAGCACCAGCACCAGCACCAGCCUGCUCUGGGUGCCUGUAGUGUCCACCACAGCUGAUCCCAUGGGCGACACAGAUCCCCCUGAUCCCGACCUGCUCCUGAGCUCUGCCCCACCACCAGCACCCAGCACCAAGGCCAGCCGGGCACUCAUGGUGCCAAGCACAGCUGAUCCCAUGGAUGAGACCGACACCCCUGAUCCCGACCUGCUGCCUGGCUCAGAGCCCGGCACACCCUCAGCAGCCCAAAGGAGCAUCACCACCACCACCCGCAGCUGGCUCACGUCACCCAUGGAAGAGGACACAGUGACUGAUGGCCUGGACAGGAGCUCCUCCGCGGGGCCACGCUCAGCUGCCCCCCCAGCCUUCGUCCUCACCACCACGGGCUACAAGAAACCCAAGAAAUCCGGAGCUCCGCCUGCACCGACCCUCCUGGCCCCUUGGGACACGUCCGCGGUGCCCUGGGAGCCCAGCGGGGUGAUGAGCAGGUGCCUGCUGGCCAUCGUGCUGCUGGGGCUGGUGGCCGCCACCUUCGUGGUGUGCACGGGGGUGCUGGGGUCGCUGCUGUGGCGGCGGGCGCGGACGGGGCAGCGCCGCUUCAGCCGCACCGAGAUGGUUUGUAUCUCCUCGUUGCUGCCCGACGCCGAGGCGGCCGCCGGCCCCCGGCCCGUCCCCGCCCGGGGGGGGGGGGGGCGGCCCCCGACCCGUCCCCGCCCGGAGACACAAGCUGCUGCUGCCCGACGGCAGCUCCGAGCCCGACGGAGACAACCUGACUCUCAGCAGCUUCCUGCCGGAGCACUCCUGAGCCGCAGGGAUGGAUCCCGCACCCCCCAGCGCUGCGGGGCCCGGUGGAGCGGCGGGCAGGGGCUCCCUGUCCCCCGGUGUUUUAACUUGGACCGGUGUGAAUGA
This 1356-nucleotide long non-coding RNA is filed under the name Ficedula albicollis (Collared flycatcher). RNAcentral's name for it is "lncRNA (ENSFALG00000026309.1)". The record is from RNAcentral. Lineage: Eukaryota; Metazoa; Chordata; Aves; Passeriformes; Muscicapidae.